AGGAUGACGACGAUGUAAGAUUCGUGAUUGGUUAUGCCAAAAAAUACGAACCUCACGUACAGCUUGAGGUCAUGGCAUUCAUCCGAGAAUACAUCGAAACAUCUGCUGAUGUCAUUUGGGAGCACUUGGAAAAACAGCUAGGUGAUUCAUUAAAUAUCGACAAAACACAGUCAGAAAGGGGUUCUGCUAUAUGAGACGAAACCAGUACAUCAGUGCAUACCAGUUUUACCUGCUAGAAAUAGCUGGUGAACUCAAUUGAAAUCGAAAAUGUACAACAUUUGCA
RNAcentral lists this small RNA (283 nucleotides) under Vigna angularis var. angularis. RNAcentral's name for it is "Non-protein coding transcript". The record is from RNAcentral. Lineage: Eukaryota; Viridiplantae; Streptophyta; Magnoliopsida; Fabales; Fabaceae.